CGUGUAGGCGGUUUGUUAAGUCUGAUGUGAAAGCCCUGGGCUCAACCUGGGAAGUGCAUUGGAAACUGGCAGACUUGAAUACGGGAGAGGGUAGUGGAAUUCCUAGUGUAGGAGUGAAAUCCGUAGAUAUUAGGAGGAACACCGGUGGCGAAGGCGGCUACCUGGACCGAUAUUGACGCUGAGACGCGAAAGCGUGGGUAGCAAACA
This 207-nucleotide ribosomal RNA is filed under the name uncultured Geobacter sp. Its description in RNAcentral is "partial 16S ribosomal RNA". It matches the Rfam family "Bacterial small subunit ribosomal RNA", at positions 568 to 774 of the family's 1533-position model. The record is from RNAcentral. Lineage: Bacteria; Pseudomonadati; Thermodesulfobacteriota; Desulfuromonadia; Geobacterales; Geobacteraceae.